GGUGGCGUGUCCGAGCGGCCGAAGGUGAACGCCUCGAAAGCGUUUGUCGGGUAACCCCCGACCAGGGGUUCGAAUCCCCUCGCCACCG
This 88-nucleotide transfer RNA is filed under the name Corynebacterium otitidis. RNAcentral describes it as "tRNA-Ser". It matches the Rfam family "tRNA". From Rfam's summary of the family: Transfer RNA (tRNA) molecules are approximately 80 nucleotides in length. Their secondary structure includes four short double-helical elements and three loops (D, anti-codon, and T loops). Further hydrogen bonds mediate the characteristic L-shaped molecular structure. tRNAs have two regions of fundamental functional importance: the anti-codon, which is responsible for specific mRNA codon recognition, and the 3' end, to which the tRNAs corresponding amino acid is attached (by aminoacyl-tRNA synthetases). tRNAs cope with the degeneracy of the genetic code in two manners: having more than one tRNA (with a specific anti-codon) for a particular amino acid; and 'wobble' base-pairing, i.e. permitting non-standard base-pairing at the 3rd anti-codon position. The record is from RNAcentral. Lineage: Bacteria; Bacillati; Actinomycetota; Actinomycetes; Mycobacteriales; Corynebacteriaceae. RNAcentral also lists the same sequence under 1 other name.